AUGCCCACAGACGAGCACACCGCCCGCUCUGGAUCUCACAGGCAUCUCAGGAAAACAGGUUCUAAAUGUUCACUAUUUCCAGAAGUUGCUCAAACAGCAGCCGGAAAUCUCUGGGAAUUCAAGAAAAGAUGGAGUAUGAGAUGGACUCUUACAAGUGGCUGUCUAACUGAGAAAAUAACUCAUAAAACCUGCAUUGACGCCGUACAUGGGCUUGGACUGACUUCCUGUCUCCACUGAGAAUGGCAGUAAAACUCCCAGUGGUUUGCAUGGUACCAGUAUUUGUCUCAUCCUCAUUCUUUGAACCACUCUAAUGAGUUCUAAUAUUUUUUUUUUUUUUUUUUUUUUUUUUUUUUUUUUGUAGAUAUCACCUUAUCUUCAGCUUCAAAGACUGAAAGGGUUAUCCUUCUGGGCAGCAUCCAUCUCACUUUAGCCAUUUAAAAGUUAGGGGUCUAAUAAAGUGCAUCAUCCAGGUUGCUCCAUGUGAGAAAAUGGUACCUCAAGUGGAUAGUCUAAAUGUUCCUCUGGAGAGCGAUAAUGAACUCUGAAGUAACAAGAUUGGAUGCCUAGAUAUUAGAUCAUUAAAGAAAGUGAGAUGAAUCCAAUCUUACAUAGAUAUAAUAGUUAGCCUAUUGUUAGUAUUAAAACCAAGAAAAAUAUGGUGAGCAAUGAGAUCUGUAUUGUGAAAUAUCAAAGCUAGGGCCAAUAAAAAAUGAUACAUUAAUCAAAGCGAGUAAAAAAUUAGAGCUUACCUUCUCAAUUCAAAUUCAUUAAUUAAUGCAAUCAGGUAGAAUCUUUAUUCAGUACACCCCUUAUUCCGUGAAAAUGUUAUCAUUACUCAUUUCCACUUCCAUGUGUUGAAGACUGUCUCUCUCUGAUGAACACCUUGCCAUUGCAAGAUAAGGCAGCUGUCAAUUGUGCUUACGUGUCUUAGUGAUGGUGGCAUGUGUCUAAGUAAUAUGCACAAUGUGUUUCUAAAACAACCUAAUGGCUCAGCUGAAUUAAAACAGGCUUGCAUGGGAAUCUGACAGGCUGUCUUAAUUUGUUGGACAGGAUGUAUUGCAGUAAGAAUAUUUCAAUUUGCAUAGUUUCAAAACACAAUGCAAUACAGUGAAAAAAACCUGAAAAUACCCAUAUAUGGUAGGCUCAUCAUGAGUGCUAUUGUCAUCAAUAAACUUCCUAUAACUGUUACUGAAACAGGCAAUGCACUUUUGGCAUUUCUACCAUUUAGUUACCUGUGAAUGAUUUGUAUGAUUUCUUCAGAUUUGAAUAGUAUCUUUGUUUGUAAAAAGCUUUUAAAAUGCUUCAUAACCAGAUAGCAUCACCUCAGAAUCCUCCACAUUUCUCUUCAGAAUUUUUUCAUACAUGUAGUAUCAUUUCACAUAUGUAUCUCCUUUGCCUUUUAUGAUGUUUCGUUGUUGUUUCUUUGUUGUUGUUUCUUUGUUAUAAAUGUCUCUAGAUUUCUCAGCCUGGAAGGCCAACUGUGUUCUGGGCUGCNUUAAAGAAAAAACAAAGCUCUAGGUUUGUCCUAUGUAACAUGAGCUUUAGUGCUUGUGACAGGUACCAGAUUUACAGCACUGGGGACUGCAAUCCUCUCUACCCACAGCAGGUAAGGCUUUUCCCCACCUGUCACUCAGCACACUCCAGUGGGAAAAGCACCAGAUGUGCAAAAACUCUCCAUUGCUCUUUAAUCCUUUGGUGCUGACUGAGUAGCAUUGCAUCAGGGACAUCAACCUAUUUCACAUGGGCCAAC
RNAcentral lists this long non-coding RNA (1750 nucleotides) under Pavo cristatus (Indian peafowl). RNAcentral describes it as "lncRNA (ENSPSTG00000009570.1)". Lineage: Eukaryota; Metazoa; Chordata; Aves; Galliformes; Phasianidae. The record is from RNAcentral.